AGCUUGCUACUGGACCUAGCGGCGGACGGGUCCGUUAUACUUAGGAAUCUGCCUAUUAGUGGGGGACAACGUUCCGAAAGGGACGCUAAUACCGCAUACGCCCUACGGGGGAAAGCAGGGGAUCUUCGGACCUUGCGCUAAUAGAUGAGCCUAAGUCGGAUUAGCUAGUUGGUGGGGUAAAGGCCUACCAAGGCGACGAUCUGUAGCGGGUCUGAGAGGAUGAUCCGCCACACUGGGACUGAGACACGGCCCAGACUCCUACGGGAGGCAGCAGUGGGGAAUAUUGGACAAUGGGGGGAACCCUGAUCCAGCCAUGCCGCGUGUGUGAAGAAGGCCUUAUGGUUGUAAAGCACUUUAAGCGAGGAGGAGGCUACUUUGGUUAAUACCUAAAGAUAGUGGACGUUACUCGCAGAAUAAGCACCGGCUAACUCUGUGCCAGCAGCCGCGGUAAUACAGAGGGUGCGAGCGUUAAUCGGAUUUACUGGGCGUAAAGCGUAUGUAGGCGGCUUUUUAAGUCGGAUGUGAAAUCCCUGAGCUUAACCUAGGAAUUGCAUUCGAUACUGGGAAGCUAGAGUAUGGGAGAGGAUGGUAGAAUUCCAGGUGUAGCGGUGAAAUGCGUAGAGAUCUGGAGGAAUACCGAUGGCGAAGGCAGCCAUCUGGCCUAAUACUGACACUGAGGUACGAAAGCAUGGGGAGCAAACAGGAUUAGAUACCCUGGUAGUCCAUGCCGUAAACGAUGUCUACUAGCCGUUGGGGCCUU
This 760-nucleotide ribosomal RNA is filed under the name uncultured bacterium. RNAcentral's name for it is "bacterial SSU rRNA". It matches the Rfam family "Bacterial small subunit ribosomal RNA", at positions 77 to 832 of the family's 1533-position model. The record is from RNAcentral.